GACGAACGAGGGAGGCGUGCUUAACACAUGCAAGUCGAACGGAAAGGCCCUGCUUUUGUGGGGUGCUCGAGUGGCGAACGGGUGAGUAACACGUGAGUAACCUGCCCUUGACUUUGGGAUAACUUCAGGAAACUGGGGCUAAUACCGGAUAGGAGCUCCUGCUGCAUGGUGGGGGUUGGAAAGUUUCGGCGGUUGGGGAUGGACUCGCGGCUUAUCAGCUUGUUGGUGGGGUAGUGGCUUACCAAGGCUUUGACGGGUAGCCGGCCUGAGAGGGUGACCGGCCACAUUGGGACUGAGAUACGGCCCAGACUCCUACGGGAGGCAGCAGUGGGGAAUAUUGCACAAUGGGCGGAAGCCUGAUGCAGCAACGCCGCGUGCGGGAUGACGGCCUUCGGGUUGUAAACCGCUUUCGCCUGUGACGAAGCGUGAGUGACGGUAAUGGGUAAAGAAGCACCGGCUAACUACGUG
Molecule: ribosomal RNA, 468 nt
Filed under: uncultured bacterium
Lineage: Bacteria
Description: partial 16S ribosomal RNA
Rfam family: Bacterial small subunit ribosomal RNA
Source: RNAcentral